AGCCUUUGCAGCUGGAAACAGUAAGCUGAGCGACUCAAAAUAAUUCCAGCCCUAUGCAAGUCAGCGCAUUUGCUGGCGACACUUUCGAAUUGACGGGGACACCCUAAAGCCCUUCCCACCAAACCAGCCGGGGAAACUCGAUGGCGGCCCGUGAGAAAUUACGGGGUAUGGUAAUAGAGGAAGGGAUACAGCAAUGGGCGAUCCGCAGCGAAGCUCCUACGGCUGCCAGCAGUUUUGCUUGGGCUAUGGAGAACGUUCACAGACUAAGUGGAAGUGGGUGGAGCUGCAAAGCUCUGCUUAAGAUAUAGUCGGGCUCUUAAGGAAACUUAAGGGGGUAUGCUUAACCGUUCCGUAGGUGAACCUGCGGAAGGAUCAUUACUGUGGGUCUUCUUAGGAAGCCCGCGAGAUAGCACCCUUUGCUUUUACGAGUACCUUGUUUCCUCGGCGGGCUUGCCCGCCAUUGGGGACUCUAUUAAACCUUUUGCAAUAGCAGUAAACGUCUGAUACUAUAACAAAUCGUUACAACUUUCAACAAUGGAUCUCUUGGUUCUGGCAUCGAUGAAGAACGCAGCGAAAUGCGAUAAGUAGUGUGAAUUGCAGAAUUCAGUGAAUCAUCGAAUCUUUGAACGCACAUUGCGCCCCUUGGUAUUCCAUGGGGCAUGCCUGUUCGAGCGUCAUUUUAAAUCUCAAGCACUGCUUGGUGUUGGGUGUUUGUCCCGCCUACCGCGCGUGGACUCGCCUUAAAGGCAUUGGCAGCCGGUCACAUUGGCUCGGAGCGCAGCAGAUGUAGCGCGUCGAAGCCGGUAGUGGUGGCAUCCAGAAGCUUUUUCUUCUAAGUUUGACCUCGGAUCAGGUAGGGAUACCCGCUGAACUUAAGCAUAUCAAUAAGCGGAGGAAAAGAAACCAACAGGGAUUGCCCUAGUAACGGCGAGUGAAGCGGCAACAGCUCAAAUUUGAAAUCUGACUUCUUUUAGGAGUCCGAGUUGUAAUUUGCAGAGGGCGCUUUGGCGUUGGCAGCGGUCUAAGUUCCUUGGAACAGGACGUCACAGAGGGUGAGAAUCCCGUACGUGGUCGCAUGCCCUCGCCGUGUAAAGCCCCUUCGACGAGUCGAGUUGUUUGGGAAUGCAGCUCUAAAUGGGAGGUAAAUUUCUUCUAAAGCUAAAUACUGGCCAGAGACCGAUAGCGCACAAGUAGAGUGAUCGAAAGAUGAAAAGCACUUUGGAAAGAGAGUCAAAUAGCACGUGAAAUUGUUGAAAGGGAAGCGCUUGCAGCCAGACUUGCUUGCAGUUGCUCAUCCGGGCUUUUGCCCGGUGCACUCUUCUGUAGGCAGGCCAGCAUCAGUUUAAGCGACUGGAUAAAGGCCUCUGUCAUGUAUUAUCCUUCGGGAUAGCCUUAUAGGGGAGUCGUAAUGCAGCCAGUUUGAACUGAGGUCCGC
Molecule: ribosomal RNA, 1435 nt
Filed under: fungal endophyte
Lineage: Eukaryota; Fungi
Description: eukaryotic LSU rRNA
Rfam family: Eukaryotic large subunit ribosomal RNA (bases 840-1435)
Source: RNAcentral